RNAcentral lists this ribosomal RNA (468 nucleotides) under uncultured bacterium. RNAcentral's name for it is "partial 16S ribosomal RNA". It matches the Rfam family "Bacterial small subunit ribosomal RNA", at positions 28 to 507 of the family's 1533-position model. The record is from RNAcentral.
GACGAACGCUGGCGGCGUGCUUAACACAUGCAAGUCGAACGGAAAGGCCCUGCUUUUGUGGGGUGCUCGAGUGGCGAACGGGUGAGUAACACGUGAGUGACCUGCCCUUGACUUUGGGAUAACUUCAGGAAACUGGGGCUAAUACCGGAUAGGAGCUCCUGCUGCAUGGUGGGGGUUGGAAAGUUUCGGCGGUUGGGGAUGGACUCGCGGCUUAUCAGCUUGUUGGUGGGGUAGUGGCUUACCAAGGCUUUGACGGGUAGCCGGCCUGAGAGGGUGACCGGCCACAUUGGGACUGAGAUACGGCCCAGACGCCUACGGGAGGCAGCAGUGGGGAAUAUUGCACAAUGGGCGGAAGCCUGAUGCAGCAACGCCGCGUGCGGGAUGACGGCCUUCGGGUUGUAAACCGCUUUCGCCUGUGACGAAGCGUGAGUGACGGUAAUGGGUAAAGAAGCACCGGCUAACUACGUG